CGGGGCGUGGCGCAGCUUGGUAGCGCGUAUCGUUCGGGACGAUAAGGUCGUGGGUUCAAAUCCCGCCGCCCCGACCA
This 77-nucleotide transfer RNA is filed under the name Chloroflexota bacterium. Its description in RNAcentral is "Chloroflexi bacterium tRNA-Pro". It matches the Rfam family "tRNA". Rfam says of the family: Transfer RNA (tRNA) molecules are approximately 80 nucleotides in length. Their secondary structure includes four short double-helical elements and three loops (D, anti-codon, and T loops). RNAcentral also lists the same sequence under 3 other names. Lineage: Bacteria; Bacillati; Chloroflexota. The record is from RNAcentral.